AUUAAAAUCAAAAUCAAUAAUCAAAAGUAAGUAUCAUAUAUUCGUUCAUCCAUUCACGACCAGUUUGAUUUUUUUUUGAGUUGGAGAUGUGUUAUAAAUCGUUUGGAUAUCUUGAAGAAACUUUAUUAUAUGUAUAGAGGCAAUCUGGAAAAUCCGCGAGUUCAACGUUAUUUACAGUUUAUCACACUAUUUGAUGUAAUUUUUGGUGAUGUACCAAAUGCAUAAAGUAUUAAGCUUUUUCUUGCAAAAUUUAUUUAUUUUUGAAUUUAAUGUUUUAUUUACGGUUUUAAUUUUUAAUUAUAU
This 303-nucleotide small RNA is filed under the name Arabidopsis thaliana (thale cress). RNAcentral's name for it is "ATSL232810". The record is from RNAcentral. Lineage: Eukaryota; Viridiplantae; Streptophyta; Magnoliopsida; Brassicales; Brassicaceae.